Long non-coding RNA from Coturnix japonica (Japanese quail), 3510 nucleotides. RefSeq lists it as uncharacterized. The record is from RefSeq and is a predicted model, not a curated record. Lineage: Eukaryota; Metazoa; Chordata; Aves; Galliformes; Phasianidae.
UUUCUUUCCUUAGCUUUUUCCUUUCCCCCUUAUCCUUCCUUCCCUCCCCUUCCCCCCUCCCUCUUUUCCUUUUCUUUUUAAGAAAUAACAAUCACGAGAUCAUGUUUUCUCGAGGAACAAGCCGUAGUCACGAGGGUUUUCCCCACACGUGUGAGAUAUCCAUGCUGUGUCCCAAAUAUUCUGGGGAGGUUCUGCUGGCGGAGAUGCUGUAAGCGAGGCUGCGUGUGCUGGGGAAGAGGGGGUGGUUGGAAUUAAUAGGAUAAACAAAGCAGGGACUCGGGGAUGGGGAAAUCAGAUGGUUGAGAAACGCUUUGGUAAUGGUGGAGAUGCACUCUGGGAUUUAAACGAGCUGAGUUUCCUUUGGUAAACGUGCAGGUCUGUGAGGUUUGGCAGUUCCUGCUGUGGGUGCUGCUCAGGAGCAGCAGUGGCAGGUGGAGAUCUCAGUCCACUCCUGCCACAUUCUGCCAUGUGAACCCCGUUCUACCCAGGCAGAUGCUGUGGGAGGGGAUCAUUCCUACAGGUUUUUCACAUACAGAUGGAUAAAUGACAAUCUAUUUCUGGGCAGGAAAACCAAAGAACUGUGCUGUCCCCUAUGUACAUGACCACCAAAAAAAUGAAGGUUUUUUUUUUCCCCCAACCAAUAAUUCAAUAAUUUCUAAGCCAGAAAGUGCAUUGUCCAACUUGCAUGCGGUUUGCAAUCUCAUUGACUCAAUGUUUCAUUGUGUGAUUUACUUUGGCCCAUUGCUCUGAGGUCCUUCUAUGGGUUUUCCUGUUGAAGAGUCCCUGAAAAACACACAGAUCACCCUGGGAAACAUCUCCCCAAUACUGGAGCAGAAGGAAGAGUGAAGUGGAUGUGAAAAGAUCUCCCAGAGUGAUGGGGAUGGGAAGGUUUGUGCUUCCCGCUGCCUCGUGCUUUGUGCAAAGGUGAUGUGUUCAGCAGCACAAAAAACAGCAGAUUUCUGCACAUGCUUCCCUCCCAGGCACGCAUGUGCUGAUUGCCAAAUAAUUGACCCAGUUAUGCUAAUAUGCUGUUUGCUUCACUGGAACUUAAUAAAUACAUAUAUAAUCAAUCUUCACACUUUUUCUUGAGCCACGCACCGGUUCGAUCAGCUGCUGCUUCAGUAGUUUUGCUGGCUCCAACCCAAGGAGCAGAGCUCUACCCAUGCUGCAGGGAAGAGGGGGCAGUCCCCUGGGUAGGUGCAAAUGAGGCCACACCAGGGAGCUCUGAGAGCUGAUCUUGCAGGAAUAACUGGGAGCAAAACUGGCUUUGCAGAUCCCAAACGCAGCCUGUGAGUUGUGGACGUGGUCGGUGGAGCUGACGUAUGUAAGUACAGUGACUUUCCCUACCCAGCCAUCAUCCCAGCCUUGUGCAGAUGGAAACUCAGCGAGUUUCUUGUCAUCAAGCCCCCGGUUUCAGUCUGACAAUGGGAACAGCAUCAUCUGUGUCAUGUAUGUUGGAAGCAAUGAAUAGAGAGCUGAGCUCACUCAUCUAUUUGCAUUCUGAAGAUAUGCAAAAAAAACCUGUCUUCUUGCUUACUCUCCUGCCUACUCAAUAUCUGUGAAACAAGGAGGAGAAUAUGGGCUGCCUUGUACUUCUGAUCUCAAUGCCCUUGAAUAAAGGAGCAAUUGCUCAGCGCAGCCUUCUGGGGUGAGUGUGAGUAUCGGAGCUAUGACAGCAACAAAAGCUCUCCAUCAGUGCAGGCUGGUGGGCAAAAGGCAGCUCCUGGAUGAGGAGUGCUCAUCAUCACGGCCACCUUGACUUGGUGUCAUCAGGGCAGCUUCUCCUCUCCACAUCCGAAUCAGCACUUGCAUCUCUAGGGCACGUAGGUCUGACCUGCCAACUGUUAAACGAAUUACAGUGUGCUCCCCCCAGACUAUUAGCAUGGAACAGCACACGUCCACAGGAGAGACAGGCUGAGGACGCAGCAGUUCUAAGAACAACGAGCCAUAGGAGACUUUCCUUCUGGAUGAAGCUGAAUGAAUUGGCAUUGGGGCUGUGACUCCACACUCGGGGUUUGCCUCAUCACUCAGCAGCUCAUGGAUUAUCUUCUUUCUAAUUUGAACAGCCACUUCUCCUCCAGGUUAUAACCAUCUGAAGCAGCAGAAGCGUGAUCCAGACCAGGCUUUAAGGGCUGGAAUUUACAUGCUUUUUUUCCUUAUGCUUUCUGGUAUUAAUUUUAUAUGCGGUGGGAAAGUAAUAUCCUGUCUGUCACUGCAGAGGAAGGGCUGUGCGUGCGUCUAUGCACAGUCACUGCUAACUGUUGAGCUCUUUCACUCCAAUUUCAGUUUUUGUGAAGAUUUCUAAACUAAAGCAAAAAUCAGCUGCAGAAAUGAUGAAUGUGAGCUACCAGCAAGGCAAAAUCAGGAGAUGUUUUCUCUUGUUUUCGUAACUCGUGGUCUUUGUGUGUAAGAGUGGAUUGCAUGGCAACUGCAUUCACACUUCUCUUUAAUAAAAGAUCCUAGCAGAUGGACCCACUAUUAACGUGUAUCCCCCAGAUUUGCAUAUUUCGUAUUCAUGCCAAGAUGGCACUGAGCAAACAUGGGAUGAACAAGGCCGAUACCAACACAACUGCACCAGAUUGAUGCUGCCAUCGCAGGGCAUCGUCCCAGCACCCCUGUUAGGAAUCUAGUCUGGUAUGAGUUAUUAAUUUUGUUCAGCUCCUCCUGGAGUCAAAUUAAGGUCUUCCCAAUACAAUUGGACAGGGCUCUUAGGUACUACCAGUUGAUGAAUAUGUAAUAAAUCCCGAGAGAGAGGGCAAGGAAACAGCAUUUGCAUCUAAACUGUAAAGAAUCCUGUGCUGGAAGUGUGUGGAGCUCCAGGUUUGGUGCAGCGUGUCGGCUAAUUGGGGCUCACUUGAAAUUCAGCUCUUAUCCAAGAUCAGGAUCUGAGUAUCUCAAAAUUCCAUUACAAUCAAAUCUAGUUGGAAGACAAGCCUAUCUGUAAUAUCUCAUCAAACAUUAGGCAUUACAACGUGGCAUUCCGGAGCCCAAAAUGUAUUUGAUCCCAUUGUUCCAGACCAUUAAUCCAACACGGUGCUGCACAUACUAAUAGGAUCAAAUAUUUAUGAAUGAGCAUUGUUUUGACUGCAAAGAUUGAACACAGCAGGCUUUAAAUACACAAGAUCCUGAAAAGGGAAACUUUAUUAUCUCCCAUAUAUCUGGUGCCAAAUUCGGAGAUAAUUUUAAAUGCGUCUUAGGUAGUUGGUGCUUGAGUAAUUUACACCUUCUUCCAACUCCCUUCAGGGUGUAAAUUACACCUGCUCCCACCUAUAUUGGGUCUGACCCAUUGCACCAAGGAUAGUAAUGAAAUCAUGUAGCACCAGAUAAUGCACUUUCUGUCGUUGCAGGAGGGAGGCAGAGGGAUCAUGUGCAGGCAGAGCAGUGGUGCUAAGGGUUAACAGUGCUUGAAAGUAAGGUGGCCUCUAUGAGGUGCUGUGCUCUGUGAGUGCAGUCCUGGGUGGAAAUAAACCAUUGCUCACCCACAUGGGCUCUUGUGCUGUGCUAUUUCAU